AACCUGUUGGAUUUACAGAUACCUGAAGAAAAAGGAAAUAAUAAUUAUUUUAUUAAAUAGCUUAUAAUGGCAUACUUAAUAUGAUAAUACUUACUUUCAUUUCAUUUACAUACUGAAAUGUUCUACAAUCAAUAACUCUCAGAGGACUGGACGUGAGCUUUCUGGACAUCCAAGAAGGGAACCCAUAAAAGGAUCCCAGCAAUGAAUUGUGCCAUCACAGGUAACUACAUAUCGUAAAGAUUCUAGGAAUGUAAGGGCAAGGAUCGACUUUUUAUGUCCAGUAUAAGUAUACUGACAAGAUGUAACAGUGUUUCCAUCCCCCUAUUAAUAAAAUAUGCUACUUAAUUGUAAACUCUUUUUAUAUAUAAAAUAUAUAUCUCUAUAUCUAAUAAUAUAAGAUUUUUAUAUUGAAAAGCA
Molecule: long non-coding RNA, 417 nt
Organism: Bombus pascuorum
Lineage: Eukaryota; Metazoa; Arthropoda; Insecta; Hymenoptera; Apidae
Exons: 2
Source: RefSeq, a predicted model, not a curated record